This 597-nucleotide long non-coding RNA is filed under the name Durio zibethinus. Its description in RNAcentral is "long non-coding RNA (DZIB_LNC001170)". The record is from RNAcentral. Lineage: Eukaryota; Viridiplantae; Streptophyta; Magnoliopsida; Malvales; Malvaceae.
UUUUCUGUCUCAAAAGUUUGGUGAAAACAUACUUGCAACCAUCAUUCUUUCUUAUACUCUUUUAGGCAUGCCAAUAAAAUAAAUAGAUGCAUCAAUUCAUAGAAAAUCUAGGUUAAAAGAAGUUUCCAUUCAUUUCCAAAAGCAUCAAGUUUACACAUCAUGAACUAUUCUAGGGCUGGGGCCGAAAAGUGCCAAACCUACUCCCACUUCCCUUUGUUUCUCCUAAAAAAUAGUUGACUAUGAUUACUAGGGAAGAUAACUCUUUGCUUAAAAAGCUUUUUAUUCAUCAUCCUGACCAACCCUACUGUUGCCUGCAGCACUGCCUACCAUUUUGACAUGGAUCAAAGAAGGGUUGUUGUGAAUAACUGGCUUCAUCUUGGUAUCAAAACUCAGAUAUCCAGCUUUCAUCAGUCCUUGCACCCUAUGUUUCAAAGCUAUGCAAUUUUCCAAAGAAUGGCCAAUGAUGCCAAAAUGGUAUUCACAUCGAGCAUUGGGGUCAUAGCAUUCGAGGAAAGGUGGUUUGCGAGGUUCAGCAGGGAUAGGGGCAAUGAGAUAAUUUUCUAGAAGUAAUGGGUACAACUCUGCGUAGGACAUGGG